UGUCCUGUAUGGAAACAGACUCAGAAGUGUCAGUCUUUUGGGUGUUACAAAGCAUUAGAGAGUGUUCGCUUAGCAGCAGUGAAAUAAACACCUCAUGAGGUGAAUGCAUUCACCUCUCUGUCCAUCCCAGCCACCGGGGAUUAGAGCACCACCGCUGCCAGGGACUUACCUUUCCAUCCUGGCUGUGCCCAGAGUAACACUGGCCUCCCACCGCUUCUGAGAAGAGAAGGCCCAGAAGUUCAUAAAAAGGCAAGAAAGGGUUAAUGCAAAUGAGGGAGAAAAAAGAACAGGCCGAUAAGAGUGCACAUCGGUGGGAAGAGACAUUUAUAGUGUGCCGUUGCUCGGUGCAACAGUUCAGAAAAAGAAGUUGUGGAUUCUCCCUGAUUGGAGGUUUCUUUUAAAAACAGGUCUUCCAAGGGAAAGAUCCACGUGUGGAAAGGCUGUUUCUCCUUCAACCUGGGAGAAGUCCAGGACCAGGGCCGACAGUAGGAAGGAAUCUCCUUUCCCCACGUCUGUCAGGUGUACUGUUUGCUGCUGCCGUGAGAACAAGCUCACCCACCAGAGGGAUAGGAUGACACGGAUGACUGAGCUUUCUCUAAGGAGACUAUAAGAAAACACCAGUGGGUAAAACAUUGAUCAACACUUCGUUUCAUGUUCAAGAAACAGUCAUCGAUCUUACUGAAUUACUAAUCCAGCAAAUUAUCCAGAAUUUGAUUCACUAUUUCCUUCUAUACUUAGCAAAGGACUUAAAAGAUAAUCAGGCAGCAGGAAACCUAAAAACCCAAUUCAAGCACCCACAAAAAGAAAUCGUCUUGGCUGGUGUCACUGGAACCGUCAGGGAUAGAACUGGCCUCAGUGUCGCUGGGUCACGUCUGGCUAUGAUUCUCUUCACUCUUUUGGCUGUGCCCUUGUCAACAGCUGACUUCCUCAGGCUGAUCCCCAGUGAAGCAGUUGCCAUGGAAACAGAAUCCAAUACCUCUCUCUGGAGCUUCACAUCAAUGCAAUUUGAUGAGAGGAACUCACACACCACCUCCUACCUCUAUUUUAUAAGUCUGAAGAUCUAUUACCUCCAAAAGAUGCAAGU
Molecule: long non-coding RNA, 1084 nt
Organism: Mesoplodon densirostris (Blainville's beaked whale)
Lineage: Eukaryota; Metazoa; Chordata; Mammalia; Artiodactyla; Ziphiidae
Exons: 5
Source: RefSeq, a predicted model, not a curated record